CCCUUAGAUGUUCUGGGCCGCACGCGCGCUACACUGACGGAUUCAACGAGCUUACAACCUUGGCCGAAAGGUCUGGGUAAUCUCCAAAAUCCGUCGUGAUGGGGAUAGAUUAUUGCAAUUAUUAAUCUUCAACGAGGAAUGCCUAGUAAGCGCAAGUCAUCAGCUUGCGUUGAUUACGUCCCUGCCCUUUGUACACACCGCCCGUCGCUCCUACCGAUUGAGUGGUCCGGUGAAGCGUUUGGACUAUGGUUUUCUGAUGGUCCGCCGUUGGAUUACCGUGGGAAGUUCGUUAAACCUUAUCAUUUAGAGGAAGGAGAAGUCGUAACA
This 327-nucleotide ribosomal RNA is filed under the name uncultured eukaryote. RNAcentral's name for it is "partial 18S ribosomal RNA". It matches the Rfam family "Eukaryotic small subunit ribosomal RNA", at positions 1470 to 1796 of the family's 1831-position model. The record is from RNAcentral.